UGGCCAUUCCAAGCUUCUCCCAUUCUCCAUUAUUCUCAGAUUAUCUGGGCUUGCAAAGCAUGUGUUCGUCCAUGUCCCGUAGCAGUGCGACACCACCGCCAUCUCAUCACACGAGCAACCAGAUGCCGCCACUCCUGCUCAUCCGUUGCCCCGAAUGCAACGCCGGCUACGUCAUGUGGUUUGUCUCCGGGACAGAACUAAACCCAGGGAGGCACUUCUACAAGUGCGACCGGCAUGGGCAUGGAGGGUGCAAGUUUUGGAAGUGGGAGAACAAGUACAUACAGUACUUAAGCCAGCGGUGGGGACAUCUGAUUUCGCACGCGUCGGUUCAUCACCACGUCGCGUUGCUCGAGUAGAACCAUGCAUUCCUGAAGAACAUAUUGAUGCUGUGCCUCGCGAAUUUGGUGGUCAUGGUCACUAUCUUCCUCCUCAAGUUCUGAAGCACCACCCCGUCCUGCGUACGUAGUGUCGUACACAUACAUGCCUUCGUGUUGCUGCCGCUCAGUGGAGUUUGAUGUACCCACUGCAUUGCCAUGGCCAUGAACAGGGCAAUGUCGUAGUCACACAUGGGCUGUAUCCCCUCUGCGUAGGGAAUGCCGUUUCCUUUUCGUAUGUUACAGUAUCUCUAGCGAUCUGCAUGUAUCAGUUAGUACAUCCAGCUUGCCCAUGCAAGGGCGGGAGCUGCUAAGUGCAAUUAAUUAUGUACCCCCCGCCGUCGUAAUUAGACUGUCUCUAAUCAAGAAACAGAUGCAAACACGUAUUUUUUGUAA
Triticum urartu is the source of this 770-nucleotide long non-coding RNA. RefSeq lists it as uncharacterized. Lineage: Eukaryota; Viridiplantae; Streptophyta; Magnoliopsida; Poales; Poaceae. The record is from RefSeq and is a predicted model, not a curated record.